AAAUAAAUAAAUAAAAAUUUUUAAAAACUUAAAAAAAUAUAUACCCAGUGCUAGAAAACAAGAAAUAAUGUCUUUGGUAGAUCCAAAACUGAGGAAUCCUUGAAGGACAAAAUAGUCAAGAUCUGAUGAAGGAAGCUAUAGCUCCAAAUGCUGCCAUAGGAUUCCUAAAAAAUUUGUUUCAGGUCUCAAAAUGGCAAAUAUGGAGCAGAAGGAAGGCUCAGGCAAGAAGGUGAUUCCCCAACACACUACAUUUGACUUCCUUUGGGUAGGCAGUGAGAAAUAGAGAUUGCUUGGACACUUGAGUCAGAAAGUCAGAGUAGGCUCCAAGUGAAAUCUUCUCCCCUAUACUCCCUACUUUACUCCCUACUGGCUCACUAUACUGACAGCAGCCACCUUCUCUCACUUAUGUUGGACAGGCUGAAGUAAAACCUGCCCCACAAUACAUCCUACUCUUUCCCUCUGUUGACCAGGUUAACAUAGGUUUUCUGAUACAAAGAUGAGCAUGGGUGUAGGAUUUAACAAAAAUGUGUGGAAAACCAAUAAUGUGAAAAAGAGAUACUGAUUGCAGGGAAAAAAAAAGUUCACACCCAAGGAAAUGUUAGUAGUGCAAGCAGAAUAAUUUUCUGGAGCUUUUGAAAUAAGUAUUGCUAUGGGUCUAUUAAAAAAAAAUCAACCAAAGACCUUGGAACCUAAAAAUAUUCACAACAAAAUUUAAAAACCAACAAAUGGACAGUACCAUGGACAUAGCCAAAGAGUAAGUUAGUGAACUGGAAGAUGAAAUGGAGGAACUCUCUUGUGUCACCUAAAAGGAUCAUGAGAUGAAAAUAUGGAAAGAAAAGUUGAGAUUUGGAGAACAUGAAUUGAGAUAUUUUGGUAUCUGCCUACAAAGAAUGUCAGAAAAAAAAUAGAAAAGAAACAAUAUCACAAAAUUUACCAGAAGGUAUAAAAUAAUCAGUAGAAGACAAAAGUCCCAAUAUUCAAAGAUGAUGAAUGAAAAAAGACCUGUAGCUGGAUACAUCACAAUAAUAAAGUUAAAGGAAAUCUACUAAAAAAGAGAGAGAAAAGGAAAGAAAAAGAAAAAGAAAAAAAAAAACUUCCAGAAGGGGGAAAAAAUGAGAGUGACAACAGACUUCUCAUGGGCAAUGCUAGAUGCAAAAAGGCAGUGGAAUUGUAUGCAUAUAACUGUGGGGUUGGGUGGGGAAGAUAUUGUACUGGAAUUGUAUACCCAGCAAAACUAUCAUUUAAGUGUAUCUAUGAAAAAGAGUCAUUUUGGACAUUACAAAUCAGUUUACCAUUCACUAGUUCCCUCUAUAAAGAUUACUAGAGGUCAUAAAAAUGAAAGAAGUGGGAAGGAAGUCAAGGACCUACUCUGUGCUAAAUGCACAUACUUCUGUCAUAGAGGAAGGCAGUUUCAAUUAGUUCACAUCUGGUUGAGGGAAAGUGAAUGUAUCUGUCCUCUCCAUAGGACAAUUAGUCAGAUAGAAGCAACUGCCCAGACAGAAAGUAUGAGCUGAGCUACCUGUGUUGGUUCACUGUAUUAAAGAGUGGAAUGGGCAGGACAUGCUGGCAGUCUCCUCUCAAUCCUGAUCCAAGCCCUUGGUUUUAUCUCUGGAGCCUAAAGAGGCAUGGCUGGAGGUUGCCAUUAUGUACAUUCUUUCUCUUCUCAAAUCCAUCCCAUUAGUAUUCAUAGGGGAUGAGGUUGGGGAAGCUAUCUCUCUCCCUGUACUGAUGGUCUGGAUUGCAGUAAACCGACCUGUGUGACUUUUCCUGAUUAGAAGCACUACAGUGGCAGUCUUAAAUUGCUCAGAACAUCAGGAAUAUGCCCAGCUGAGCAGAGGGAACAUGGCCCGGGCCUCUGGGAACUCUGCCCAGUGACCUGUCAAUUUGGGACACUGCCAGUUCUCCUGGAUUGAGGGGGAAGACCAGUAAGGAAGAGGCCCUGGCAGUCCUGGGAAGAAGAGAAAAAAAUUACUGUAGGAGGCUGUAUGUACCAGAAGUCCAGGUGAAUUCACAAAGUGCUACUUUGGGAAACCUCCUGGUGGGUAUGAAAGGGGCAUAUGGGGCUGCCCCACAGGUCAGCAGAAUCUGGGCCAAGACACAACAGAUUCUGGCUGGGAAGCGGUCUGGGUCUGGAUCUUCUCCACAGAGGAAGGUUUGGAAGAUUUUAAAAAAUUCAUAUGUUAUUAAAGUAAUUUCCCCCCCCCUCAAAUUUCUGUCCUCUGUAUAAUUGUGCUUGAAAAAACCAAGUGGGGCUCAUGUUCUCCUCAAGAGUUUGUGCUUCUCUGUCAGCUUCUCCUAUUCGAGGUUGGGCCUGGUCUUAACCCUCCCUCCACCUACAUGGGUCUUUGGUGAUUCUCCCCGACUCUCCAGAUUGGAGGGAAGCUGGGAACCAACCACACUCAACCACUUGACUUCAGAAGAGUUAUAGGAAAUUGGCUAAUAUUUUUUAGUCCUUUUAUUGUAAUCAUAGGUUGUAUAACUUAGUAGGGGACACUUGGAAGCCACAUGUCCUGUCCCCUGGCUCUAGGCAGGAUGGAAUUAAAGUUAUUUUCCUCAGAUAACACUCUUCUCUGCUUUAAAACAACAACAACAACAACAACAACAACAACAAAAACAACAAAAAACCCCCAAAAACCAAAAACCAAAAACAAAAAGCAAAAAACCUCCAAAGAAGCAGCUACUGCAGCAUCUCUUGGGAUGGCUUUCCUGUGUUUCACUUGUUGUCAGGCAAGAAAGGUUGAGACACUUUUCUGAAGACUCACUGGGGAAAUGGCCAGCCUGAGAGUUCGUCCCACCCCCCGCCCCCCGAAAGAACUUUGAGUGCACAUGAACUCAUGCCAUAUGUGCCUAGGAAUAAAAAGACCUCUUGAUUCUUGGACCUACUGUGGGGAGUUUUUAUGUGUUACAUGUUCAUGUCAGGUUAGACCCUCAGAUGUUUUUAUCCAUGCUUCAGGCACUAUAUGCCACUUAAAUGCAACAGUACAGGACUACAGCAAACUCUGACAGCAGGGGCAGAGGGUAAGAACUGUGAUGGGAAGGUGAUGGAGGAACAGGCAGCUGCUUAGGCUGCCUUGCAAAGAGAUACCCAGGAGUACCAGUUGACAGAUGCAUUUCACCAGCCUGGCCAUAGCAUGCACCUGGGUAACCCUAGCUGACAUGUUUCUCUGUAAACUUCCAGCUAGACAGAUCUUUUCUGCAAUUCUACCAUAGACACAGUAUUUCAUUUUAUUUUUUUGCAAAUUUAAAAAAAAUUUUAAUUUAAUUUUUUUUUAAGUGUUCCAAAAUUCAUUGUUUAUGCACCACACCCAGUGCUCCAUGCAAUACAUGCCCUCCUUAAUACCCGCCACCAGGCUCACCCCAUUCCCAACCCCCCCUCCCCAAAUCUCCAGUUUGUUUUUCAGAGUCCACAGUCUCUUAUGGUUUUUCUCCCCCUCCGAUUUCCCCAACUCACUUCUCCUGUCUUCCAAUGUCUUUCGUGUUAUUCCUUAUGCUCCACAAAUAAGUGAAACCAUAGGAUAAUUGACUCUCUCUGCUUGGCUUAUUUCACUAAGCAGACAAAGUAUUUUAAAACAUAUGAUUCCUACCAGGAGACCAUGAGCAUUUGAGCUCCUCAAGGUGACAUUUAAAGCCUGCCCCCCCUUUUUUUCCCCCUAAACAAAAAUUGCAUUUUUGUUUACCUAUCUAAGAAGAUAGGUAGGUUUGGGUAUUCUUAAGGCCAAUGUACCUGAGACUUUGGAGCACAAACUUUUCUAAUAUUUUUUCCUGGGGACAGCAUCUCUUCUCUGAACUCCAGCCACAGGGUUCACCAAAUAGGAUGAAAGAAUUGAAAGUGACCCAUGAAUUCAGCUGGUCCAAACUCCUCACAUUACAGAGGAAGAAAGAAAAACCAGAACUACAAAGGGCUGUGAAGGCAGAAAUGAGCCUUAGUCACCCCCUCCUUUUACUCAGAGGUCUCUGUCUUGACACAUCUCCACCCCAGGGUCCUCAGUAACUUGUGACAGAAGUGGAGCUAGAAUUUGAGUUUCCCUAUUCAAGUUCAGUGCUUUAUCUCCCCCCUCCCCCCAAGGAGCUAGUUCCAUGCUUUCUCUGUAGCCUGUAGGCCAGGCCAGAACUCACUGGCAGGAAGAAGAAUGAAAUAAGUGUAAUGAUUCUAUAGAGGGCAUGUUGACCUUCCACAAAUCAUGUUCCCACCAGUCUGUCACUGAUGCUUGACCUUCCACCAUUAGAGAUUCAUUCUUUUGUAACUUGGAGGUGAGGUAGACUUCCAGAGUCUCCUCUUGAAAUGUAAAUACCUCUGGGAAGGCCACGAACAGUUGAUAGCUAAGAAACUGCCAGGCCUGUUUCUCCAAGAGCAUUAAUAACCAACAGUGUGGGGGUAUGGAAGGGAAGCGGAGGCAGAGAGAUUUCAGAAUUCACUGAACUAGGAGGACAAAGUUGGGAUGGAUGUGAGAAUGGGUCCACCCUUUUGUAGGCACCAUGAAUGCUAUUUACCUAUCUAAUUAAAUAUGUAAGAACAUGGCCCAGACACGUUGGUGAAAAAUUCCCUUCUCAAGGCAUGAACUAAUGUUUGGAAUCUCAAAGGGAAAGACUGUGCUGCCCACACCCUUCUGCCAUCAGAGGGUGUCCAGGUUAGGGCUUUCUGUGUAAUGGGCAUUGAGAGAUCCCCACUUCUACUUCAAGGCUUCCUUUGCAUGAGCGGACCUGCAUGGAUAUUUUUGUUUAUGGCUGAAGAAAAGAGGAGUUUGUACUACUCUUCUGUGGGUAGAAGACUGAACAAGAGAGGGGAUGGUGUGUCAUCCGGCUACCCUGACACUGGCCUUUGUGCCCUUGUAGAACAAUGGAAGAGUUCAGACCAGAAGCAGAGGGGCUGUUUCUCCAAGAGGCUUGAGGAGACACAAAAUUCAAAGAGUGGGUUUGGGGGCUCAGCAAAUCUACUCCUGCAUUUCAUGACAUCCGGAAGUUGCUGGGUAUGCUGGAAGAUAACAGUCCUGGUGCAGCUGUCAGCAUCCUCAUGAGGGAUGUUGCUGACAUGGUUAACGGCAAGUCUCCUAAAAGUCCCCUCAAAGUCAGUGGAUAUGUGCUAAGGGAAGCCAGAAAUGCAGAAGAAAGAGGAGGAAGAGACUCAAUAUGGGAAAUUAAGGACUCCAAGAAGUGAAGCCAUGUGCCCAAAGUCACAGUUAAAAUGCAAGAAUGUGGACUGAAAACCAGGUCUGUGAGGCUCUGGGGUCUGGGCUCCUUCCACUGGUGGAGUCAGAAAGAUAUGGGCUCUGAGCAGUCUUCAACCCCUUACCAAGUAAAUUAACCAUAGAGUAGACUUGUCCUGGUAAGAUGAAGACCGUGGCUGCUUCUCCAGCAACUCAGCUCACUGCUUUCUGGACCAUCAUCUGUGAC
Mustela lutreola (European mink) is the source of this 5391-nucleotide long non-coding RNA. RefSeq lists it as uncharacterized. Lineage: Eukaryota; Metazoa; Chordata; Mammalia; Carnivora; Mustelidae. The record is from RefSeq and is a predicted model, not a curated record. The transcript is spliced from 3 exons.